UUAGAUGCUAAAUUGAAGAGUGGGAGCUCGUAUACAUGGCAAAGUAUUUGUGCUGGGAUCAACACGUUCAGGAGAGGUGCAAUAUGGCGCAUAGGAGAUGGCUCACAAGUGAAUAUUUGGUCUGAUUCGUGGAUUCAAUCUAGUGCUGAUGGUCGUGUUAUUACUCCACGAGGUACGACUUUGCUGUCUAAAGUAUCUGAACUCAUUGAUCCGGUCACUGGUCUAUGGGACCAAGAAUUGAUACAUAGUGUGUUCUGGCCGGUGGAUGCCCACCGAAUCUUGUCAAUACCAUUGGCACCGAAUGGAAUGAUGGAAGACUUUGUGGCUUGGAGAUUCACAAAGAACCACAUUUUUUCGGUAAGAUCAGCUUAUUAUGUUGAAUGGGAACACCAAUUUGCUCGCUGGUACGAAAGAACAGAGGGCCAACCAUCUCAACGGCACCCGGUUUGGGCAAACCUUUGGAGUUUCCAAGUUCCAGCAAAGAUCAAGAUCCAUGCAUGGAGGGUUCUACAUGGGUUCAUUCCUUGUUAUGGGGUCCUGGUGAACCGGCACAUUGGCACGGCGGAUAGCUGUCCUAUGUGUGCGGGUGGAUGUGAGGACAUUAUGCACUCACUCUUUACCUGCACGAGGGCAGCUGAGAUUUGGAGAUGCCUGAAGCUGGACAAUUUCAUAGAAGAAGCUUGCUCGACUGAUAGGGCGGGAACGGCGGCGUUGGACUAUAUUUUAUGUGCUCCGGCUCGGCUGAGUUCGAUAUCGCAUGCUACUGCCCAAGCUCUUAUCCUUGUGGGCAUUUAG
This 795-nucleotide ribosomal RNA is filed under the name Triticum aestivum (bread wheat). RNAcentral describes it as "partial small subunit ribosomal RNA". The record is from RNAcentral. Lineage: Eukaryota; Viridiplantae; Streptophyta; Magnoliopsida; Poales; Poaceae.